RNAcentral lists this ribosomal RNA (429 nucleotides) under uncultured bacterium. RNAcentral's name for it is "bacterial SSU rRNA". It matches the Rfam family "Bacterial small subunit ribosomal RNA", at positions 355 to 776 of the family's 1533-position model. The record is from RNAcentral.
UGGGGAAUAUUGCGCAAUGGGCGAAAGCCUGACGCAGCGACGCCGCGUGGGGGAUGAAGGCCUUCGGGUCGUAAACCUCUGUCAGGUGGGAAGAAAGUGUGUCGUGCCAAUCAGCGGCGCAUUGACGGUACCGCCAAAGGAAGCACCGGCCAACUCCGUGCCAGCAGCCGCGGUAAUACGGAGGGUGUAAGCGUUAAUCGGAAUUACUGGGCGUAAAGCGCGCGUAGGCUGUCAGUUAAGUCAGGGGUGCAAGCCCACGGCUCAACCGUGGAAUUGCCCUUGAAACUGGCUGACUUGAAUUCGGGAGAGGGUGGCGGAAUUCCAGGUGUAGGAGUGAAAUCCGUAGAUAUCUGGAGGAACACCGGUGGCGAAGGCGGCCACCUGGCCCGAUAUUGACGCUGAGGCGCGAAAGCGUGGGGAGCAAACAGG